GAUGAACGCUGGCGGCGUGCCUAAUACAUGCAAGUCGAGCGAACAGAUAAGGAGCUUGCUCCUUUGACGUUAGCGGCGGACGGGUGAGUAACACGUGGGUAACCUACCUAUAAGACUGGGAUAACUUCGGGAAACCGGAGCUAAUACCGGAUAACAUUUGGAACCGCAUGGUUCUAAAGUGAAAGAUGGUUUUGCUAUCACUUAUAGAUGGACCCGCGCCGUAUUAGCUAGUUGGUAAGGUAGCGGCUUACCAAGGCGACGAUACGUAGCCGACCUGAGAGGGUGAUCGGCCACACUGGAACUGAGACACGGUCCAGACUCCUACGGGAGGCAGCAGUAGGGAAUCUUCCGCAAUGGGCGAAAGCCUGACGGAGCAACGCCGCGUGAGUGAUGAAGGGUUUCGGCUCGUAAAACUCUGUUAUUAGGGAAGAACAAAUGUGUAAGUAACUGUGCACGUCUUGACGGUACCUAAUCAGAAAGCCACGGCUAACUACGUG
RNAcentral lists this ribosomal RNA (497 nucleotides) under uncultured bacterium. RNAcentral describes it as "partial 16S ribosomal RNA". It matches the Rfam family "Bacterial small subunit ribosomal RNA", at positions 28 to 507 of the family's 1533-position model. The record is from RNAcentral.